GUGUCAGCAGCCGCGGUAAUACGGAGGGUGCAAGCGUUAUCCGGAUUCACUGGGUUUAAAGGGUGCGUAGGCGGGCAGUUAAGUCAGUGGUGAAAUCUCCGGGCUCAACCCGGAAACUGCCGUUGAUACUAUCUGUCUUGAAUGUGGUGGAGGUGAGCGGAAUAUGUCAUGUAGCGGUGAAAUGCUUAGAUAUGACAUAGAACACCGAUUGCGAAGGCAGCUCACUACACCGAAAUUGACGCUGAGGCACGAAAGCGUGGGGAUCAAACAGGAUUAGAUACCCUGGUAGUCC
Molecule: ribosomal RNA, 292 nt
Filed under: uncultured bacterium
Lineage: Bacteria
Description: partial 16S ribosomal RNA
Rfam family: Bacterial small subunit ribosomal RNA
Source: RNAcentral